GGGGAGCCCUAGCACAGGUGCUGCAUGGCCGUCGUCAGCUCGUGCCGUGAGGUGUUGGGUUAAGUCCCGCAACGAGCGCAACCCCCGCCGUUAGUUGCCAGCGGUUCGGCCGGGCACUCUAACGGGACUGCCCGCGAAAGCGGGAGGAAGGAGGGGACGACGUCUGGUCAGCAUGGCCCUUACGGCCUGGGCGACACACGUGCUACAAUGCCCACUACAAAGCGAUGCCACCCGGCAACGGGGAGCUAAUCGCAAAAAGGUGGGCCCAGUUCGGAUUGGGGUCUGCAACCCGACCCCAUGAAGCCGGAAUCGCUAGUAAUCGCGGAUCAAGCCAUGCCGCGGUGAAUACGUUCCCGGGCCUUGU
Molecule: ribosomal RNA, 364 nt
Filed under: uncultured Thermus sp.
Lineage: Bacteria; Thermotogati; Deinococcota; Deinococci; Thermales; Thermaceae
Description: bacterial SSU rRNA
Rfam family: Bacterial small subunit ribosomal RNA
Source: RNAcentral